UACGGAGGGUGCAAACGUUGCUCGGAAUCAUUGGGCGUAAAGCGCACGUAGGCGGCUCGUUAAGUCGGGUGUGAAAGCCCUGGGCUCAACCCAGGAAGUGCAUUCGAAACUGGCGAGCUUGAAUAUGGAAGAGGGUCGCGGAAUUCCCGGUGUAGAGGUGAAAUUCGUAGAUAUCGGGAGGAACACCUGUGGCGAAAGCGGCGCACUGGACCACAACUGACGCUGAGGCGCGAAAGCUAGGGGAGCAAACAGG
RNAcentral lists this ribosomal RNA (253 nucleotides) under uncultured bacterium. Its description in RNAcentral is "partial 16S ribosomal RNA". It matches the Rfam family "Bacterial small subunit ribosomal RNA", at positions 524 to 776 of the family's 1533-position model. The record is from RNAcentral.